This is a long non-coding RNA of Myotis lucifugus (little brown bat), 373 nucleotides long. RefSeq lists it as uncharacterized. NCBI's taxonomy places the organism in Eukaryota, Metazoa, Chordata, Mammalia, Chiroptera, Vespertilionidae. The record is from RefSeq and is a predicted model, not a curated record. The transcript is spliced from 2 exons.
CUCUCUCUCUCUCUUUGUAACUUGCAGGUUAAGUGGAGCUAGAGAGCUACGUUGUAACCUAGUUGGAUUUUUUUGGGGGGGAAAUGUAUCAGAAUCUAACGAGUCCUUAAUAGAAAGAAGAACAGGGAAGAAGUGGUCCAGCCAGCGAAGGAGGAAGAUGAGAAGUAGCGAGAUGGAUGGGACAUCCCUUCUGGAUUUCCGAGGAGACACAGAAACUUGGCCGGGCCUCAGCCUCCCAGAAUGCCAGUUUUUCCCCUUGGAGACUUGAAGUUUUAAUUGAAACCAGAAAGCUAUUGAAGGCAGACCCAGCCAAUGAAACCUUGUUUUCUCUGCUGCUCAGGAAUGGGAAAUAAAUAAUGUUUUGCUGAUGGCA